AUAAUUAUGAAUAAAAUGCAUGAAUAUGAAUAUUGACCAUUUUGGAUCCACCAUAUAGAUACCCAAAAUUUCUACUUAAGUAAGAUAACGAAGUAUUUGUACUUCAUUACUUGACACCUCUGGUGAAAGUGAAACGAACCACAGUCUCACUUGCUUCAGUUCAGUUAAUCUGACAUUGGUAACUUGGUAAAGGUUGGAGAACAGUGAAAAUGAGUUUUCAGAUCUACUUUAGAGAUGAGAAAAAGAGAAUGAAAGUGUGUGUGUCGAACUCAGAGGAGGAAUUGAGGAACACCACAGUGGAGGAGCUGAAGAGAAAACUCAUUCCUGAAGACCAACGUGAGUCAGUCUGAUUCUGUCAUGUGAGGAGAAGAACAAAGAAAACUGUGAUAUUAUCAGCUGAGAAGACUGAGAUUAAGACACAUGUUAAUGAGGAACAUGUGUGUGUUUGCUGUUCUCAUGUUGUGUUUCUUUCACAGGUGAUGAUGCUGAACUUCUCUACAAACAUGAAACACUGAAGAAGAAUCGCACACUUGGUUUCUACGGCAUUAAACACGAGGAUGAGAUUAUUGCAGUACGCCGAGGAACCUCCAUUACAUGGACACCCAGUAGAAUAUCUCUCGCAGACCAUUGUUCAGGUUCAUUAUGGCUACGCAAACGAAGAUACCCUGAAGAUGAAGAUGAAGAUGAAGACGACGGAGCCAAACGAUGUUCACUUCUAAAUGAAGAAGAAGAGGAAAUAAUUCCCAGGACUCACUCUAUGGAUAAUCUGCUGUUGGAUAUGCAGCAGCCUCAGUGAAUAAUGUUCAGUCUCUCAUAAUCCUGAUCAAUAUAUUGAUAGUGUGAUCAUAAAUAUAUUGAUAGUGUGAUCAUAAAUAUAUUGAUAGUGUGAUCAGGUAUAGUUGAGAUUGACUACAGUAAAGUAAGUGAAUGGACAGUAGAUCAGAUCUCAUAAACACACGUGUGGAUCUGAACUGAGAUCAGAAUAUCAAGCUUCAGUUCACAGAAAUCCUCUCGAUCUCUUAUUAUUCACUCUUCAACAUCCACUGCAGACUGUAGCUGGUUUCUUUUUAGUACAAAAACACCUUACAGACAUUCAAUACAAAGUAAACAAAUCAUGAGAAUACCAGUUUACUGUGUUUAAAAUGACACACUUUAAAGUGUGGUAGAUUUUCUCUUAAGCACCUGACUUAAAGGUGCCCUAGAAUCAAAAAUUGAAUUUAUCUUGGCAUAGUUGAAUAACAAGAGUUCAGUACAUGGAAAUGACAUACAGUGAGUUUCAAACUCCACUGU
Molecule: long non-coding RNA, 1290 nt
Organism: Megalobrama amblycephala (Wuchang bream)
Lineage: Eukaryota; Metazoa; Chordata; Actinopteri; Cypriniformes; Xenocyprididae
Exons: 3
Source: RefSeq, a predicted model, not a curated record